AAUAUUGGACAAUGGGCGAAAGCCUGAUCCAGCCAUGCCUCGUGUGUGAAGAAGGUCUUCGGAAUGUAAGCACUUUAAGUUGGGAGGAAGGGCAGUACGUUAAUACCUUGCUGUUUUUACGUUACCGACAGAAUAAGCACUUGCUAACUUCGUGCAAGCAGCCUCGGUAAUACAAAGGGUGCAAGCGUUAAUCGGAAUUACUGGGCGUAAAGCGCGCGUAGGUGGUUCGUUAAGUUGGAAGUGAAAGCCCCGGGCUUAACCUGGGAAUUGCUUUCAAAACUGGCAAGCUAGAGUAUGGCAGAGGGUGGUGGAAUUUCCUGUGUAGCGGUGAAAUGCGUAGAUAUAGGAAGGAACACCAGUGGCGAAGGCGACCACCUGGGCUAAUACUGACACUGAGGUGCGAAAGCGUGGGGAGCAAACAGG
RNAcentral lists this ribosomal RNA (423 nucleotides) under uncultured bacterium. RNAcentral describes it as "partial 16S ribosomal RNA". It matches the Rfam family "Bacterial small subunit ribosomal RNA", at positions 360 to 776 of the family's 1533-position model. The record is from RNAcentral.